AUUUCAGGCUCUGCUGUGUCAAGUCGGGGAGCGGCUCUUUGCUCAGCUUAGAGAACUGGAAGAGGCCGCAACCUUCUGCCUGCUGGAGGCUGGAGGAUGGAUGGAGCCUGGAGCCUGGGACACUACCUUGCUGUGGUUGGUGGUGGCGACAGAGCAGUAAGAGGGUGGCCGGCAGCAGGAGCUUGUCCUGCUGGGCUGGAGGACUAGGAGAAGGAAGAGGCACCACCACAUGCUGGAGGCUGAAGCCUGGAGUCUGUGCCACCAUGGCUCGCCUCGCUGUGGUUGGUGGUGACGCUGGAGACUGCAGCUGGGCCACAGUGGUAGAAAUGUGAUGGGGUAGGUUUUUGGGGAACAGGUGGCGUUUGAUUGUAAGAGUAAGUUCCUUAGAGGUUGGAAACACUCUCUUUACGGAAUCUGCAAAUGGACAUUUCAGAGCCUAUUGAGGCCUACACUGAAAAACCAAAUAUCCUGCAAUAAAAACUACAAAUAAGCUACCUGUGAAAAUGUUUUGUGAGGUUUGGAUUCAUCUCACAGAUUUAACCCUUUGUUUUGAUUCAGCAGGUUGGAAAUACUCUUGUUGUAGAAUCUAUGAAGGGACAUUUCAGAGCUCAUUGAGGCCUAUAGAGAAAAAUCAAAUAUCCUGCGAUAAAAACUGUAAAGAAGCUACCUCUGAAAAUACUUUGUGAUGUGUGAUUUUAUCUCAGAAGUUGAACUUUUCAUUUGAUUCUGCAGGUUGGAAACUCUUUUUUUGUAGAAUCUACAAGGAGACAUUUCAUAGCCCAUUGAGGCCUAUAGUGAAAAAUCGAAUAUCCCUUGAUAAAGACUAGAAACAACCUAUCUGUAAAAAUGCUUUGUGAUGUGUAGAUUCAUUUUACAAAUUUAAACCUUUGUUUUGCUUCAUCAGGUUGGAAACUCUUUGAAUCUACAAAGGGACAAUUCAGGGCCCAUUGAGGCCUUUAGUGAAAAACCAAUUACCCUCAGUAAAAACUAGAUAUAAGCUAUGGGUGAAAAUGCUUUGUGAUGUGUGGAUUCAUCUCACAAGUUAAACCUUUGUUUUGAUUCAGCAGGUUGGAAACACUCUUUUAAUAGAGUUUAUGAGGGAAAAUUUCAGAGCCCAUUGAAGCCUCUUAAUAAAAACUGAUAAGAAAUAGAAACAA
Homo sapiens (human) is the source of this 1157-nucleotide long non-coding RNA. The record is from Ensembl. Lineage: Eukaryota; Metazoa; Chordata; Mammalia; Primates; Hominidae.